ACGAACGCUGGCGGCGUGCUUAACACAUGCAAGUCGCACGGAAAGGCCCUGCUUUUGUGGGGUGCUCGAGUGGCGAACGGGUGAGUAACACGUGAGUAACCUGCCCUUGACUUUGGGAUAACUUCAGGAAACUGGGGCUAAUACCGGAUAGGAGCUCCUGCUGCAUGGUGGGGGUUGGAAAGUUUCGGCGGUUGGGGAUGGACUCGCGGCUUAUCAGCUUGUUGGUGGGGUAGUGGCUUACCAAGGCUUUGACGGGUAGCCGGCCUGAGAGGGUGACCGGCCACAUUGGGACUGAGAUACGGCCCAGACUCCUACGGGGGGCAGCAGUGGGGAAUAUUGCACAAUGGGCGGAAGCCUGAUGCAGCAACGCCGCGUGCGGGAUGACGGCCUUCGGGUUGUAAACCGCUUUCGCCUGUGACGAAGCGUGAGUGACGGUAAUGGGUAAAGAAGCACCGGCUAACUACGUG
RNAcentral lists this ribosomal RNA (467 nucleotides) under uncultured bacterium. RNAcentral's name for it is "partial 16S ribosomal RNA". It matches the Rfam family "Bacterial small subunit ribosomal RNA", at positions 29 to 507 of the family's 1533-position model. The record is from RNAcentral.